CAGUCGCCGCGGGAAUACGUAGGUGGCAAGCGUUGUCCGGAAUUAUUGGGCGUAAAGGGUUCGCAGGCGGUUUCUUAAGUCUGAUGUGAAAGCCCCCGGCUCAACCGGGGAGGGUCAUUGGAAACUGGGAAACUUGAGUGCAGAAGAGGAGAGUGGAAUUCCACGUGUAGCGGUGAAAUGCGUAGAGAUGUGGAGGAACACCAGUGGCGAAGGCGACUCUCUGGUCUGUAACUGACGCUGAGGAGCGAAAGCGUGGGGAGCGAACAGGAUUAGAUACCCCAGUAGUCCCUGUCUCUUAUAC
RNAcentral lists this ribosomal RNA (301 nucleotides) under uncultured bacterium. RNAcentral's name for it is "partial 16S ribosomal RNA". It matches the Rfam family "Bacterial small subunit ribosomal RNA", at positions 509 to 807 of the family's 1533-position model. The record is from RNAcentral.